RNAcentral lists this ribosomal RNA (497 nucleotides) under uncultured bacterium. Its description in RNAcentral is "partial 16S ribosomal RNA". It matches the Rfam family "Bacterial small subunit ribosomal RNA", at positions 28 to 507 of the family's 1533-position model. The record is from RNAcentral.
GAUGAACGCUGGCGGCGUGCCUAAUACAUGCAAGUCGAGCGAACAGACGAGGAUCUUGCUCCUCUCACGUUAGCGGCGGACGGGUGAGUAACACGUGUAUAACCUACUUAUCAUACUGGUAUAACUUCGGGAAACCGGAGCUUAUACCGGAUAAUAUAUUGAACCGCAUGGUUCAAUAGUGAAAGACGGUUUUGCUGUCACUUAUAGCUGGAUCCGCGCUGCUUUAGGUAGUUGGUGAGGUCACGGCUUACCAAGGCAAGGCUGCGUAGGCGACCUGCGAGGGUGAUCGGCCACCCUGGGAGUGUGACCGGGUCCAGACUCCUAGGGGAGGGAGCCGUAGGGAAUCUUCCGCAAUGGGUGAAAGACUGACGGAGCAACGCCGAGUGAUUGAGGAAGGUCUUCGGAUCGUAAAACUCUGUUAUUAGGGAAGAACACAUGUGUAAGUAACUAUGCGCGUCUUGAAGGGAACUAAUCAGAGAGCCACGGCUAACCACGUG